Long non-coding RNA from Cyprinus carpio carpio, 1039 nucleotides. NCBI's taxonomy places the organism in Eukaryota, Metazoa, Chordata, Actinopteri, Cypriniformes, Cyprinidae. The record is from Ensembl.
AUGCUUUCUCCCCAUCCAACUUUAAGAGAACUUGAUCUCCUGGGUUUAAGCAAGGAAGCGUACGGACAGAAUGUCUUUUGUCAAAGAAGUGCUUGUAAGCUGCUUUAGCCUUUUUGUCCUUUUGCAAUACCUGCUCAAAGCUGAUAUGGCGUGGACGCAAAGUCUUCUCAAGGACAGGCAGUGUAGUGCGAAUUUGUCGUCCCAACAUCAGCUGAGCCGGGCUUGCACCAGUGGCAGUGAUUGGAGUGGCUCUGUAACUCAAAAGUGCCAAUUGAGGGUCAGGUUGACGUAAGAUAUGUUUCGCUGUCUUAACAGCCCGCUCAACAGCCCCAUUUGAUUGUGGGAAGUGGGGGCUGCUAGUAACAUGUUGGAUGCCCCAGCUCGUACAAAAGUCUGCAAAGUCCAUACUGCUGAACUGGGUACCAUUAUCUGAGUGCAACUCACGCGAAUCCCCCAUCUAAUGAACAUCCCUUUUAGCGUAGUGAUCACGCUGCGGCUGCUAGUGAGGCUUAAAUGUGCAAUUUCAAUGUCUCUAGAAUAGUAAUCCACGACCACUAAAUAGUUCUUUCCACCAUAUUCACACAGAUCCGCUCCUAUGGUGUGCCAAGGACUGGGAGGAAGUGGAGUGGUAAUGAGGGGCUCUUUCCUCUGAUCCUAGGUGACCCUCAUGCAAUCGAACAAGAAUCUCUCGCCGUUGUGCAGUAGGAAUUACAAUCCUGUCACCAUGUAAAAGCAGUCCAUCGGCCCUGGACAAUGAUGCCCGUUCUGCAUGGUAAGCCUUAAGCUCCGACGGCACAUGGUGUGGCCAGCCAUCAUUAACGAAACGCAUUACUUCCCUCAUCAUAGGGUCUGUGGAUGUGGCUUCACGAAUGGCGUCCAGCUUUGCCUCUGAUAUAGGCUUAGCCUGAAUCACAGCCUCCACAUAAGCACGCACAGCUACUUCAGUAUCAGAAACUCCUGUCCCAGUUAAGGGGUUGCGCGACAGCGCAUCGGCCACGACUAGUGACUUGCCUGGGACAUGUACUGCUUUAACAUUGAA